CCUACGGGGGGCAGCAGUGGGGGAUAUCGCACAAUGGGGGAAACCCUGAUGCAGCGACGCCGCGUGGGCGAAGAAGUAUUUCGGUAUGUAAAGCCCUAUCAGCAGGGAAGAAGAAAUGACGGUACCUGAGUAAGAAGCACCGGCUAAAUACGUGCCAGCAGCUGCGGUAAUACGUAUGGUGCAAGCGUUAUCCGGAUUUACUGGGUGUAAAGGGAGCGCAGGCGGCACGGCAAGCCUGAUGGGAAAGCCCGGGGCCCAACCGCGGGACUGCAGUGGGAACUACCGGGCUGGAGUGCCGGAGAGGUAGGCGGAAUUCCUAGUGUAGCGGUGAAAUGCGUAGAUAUUAGGAGGAACACCAGUGGCGAAGGCGGCCUACUGGACGGUGACUGACGCUGAGGCUCGAAAGCGUGGGGAGCAAACAGGAUUAGAUACCCUGGUAGUC
This 442-nucleotide ribosomal RNA is filed under the name uncultured bacterium. RNAcentral describes it as "partial 16S ribosomal RNA". It matches the Rfam family "Bacterial small subunit ribosomal RNA", at positions 338 to 795 of the family's 1533-position model. The record is from RNAcentral.